AUUGAACGCUGGCGGAAUGCUUUACACAUGCAAGUCGAACGGCAGCACGGGGGCGAACCCUCGGUGGCGAGUGGCGAACGGGUGAGUAAUACAUCGGAACGUGCCCACGUCGUGGGGAGUAACGUAGCGAAAGCUACGCUAAUACCGCAUACGAACUCUGGUUGAAAGCGGGGACCCGUAGGCCUCGCGCGAUUGGAGCGGCCGAUGGCAGAUUAGGUAGUUGGUGGGGUAAAGGCUCACCAAGCCGACGAUCUGUAGCUGGUCUGAGAGGACGACCAGCCACACUGGGACUGAGACACGGCCCAGACUCCUACGGGAGGCAGCAGUGGGGUAAUUUUGGACAAUGGGCGCAAGCCUGAUCCAGCC
Molecule: ribosomal RNA, 366 nt
Filed under: uncultured bacterium
Lineage: Bacteria
Description: bacterial SSU rRNA
Rfam family: Bacterial small subunit ribosomal RNA
Source: RNAcentral